CCAGCAACUACCACCUUUCCCCGAGCACCGUUCUCGACCACCAAGAUGAAAGCCUUUAUCGUAGUAUGUGCUCUCGUGGCGUGUGCCCUCGCUGAAGAAGAAGUGCGUGAGAAGCGCGGUUUCCUGCACGGCGGCUACUCCGGCUACUCAGGAUACAGUGGUCUAGGAGGCUACUCGGGCUACAGGGGUGGGGGUGGUUACUCCAGCUACGGUGGUCUAGGUGGCUACUCCAGCUACGGUGGUUUAGGUGGCUACUCCGGCUACAGUGGACUGGGCUACUCCGGUCACAUUCGUUUGGGAGGCUACUCUGGCUACGGCGGCCAUAGAGGCUAUGGCUCCAGAUAUUACUCAGGAUAUGGCUCCGGCUACGGCUCUGGUUAUGGUUCCGGCUAUGGAUCUGGAUAUGGCUCCGGAUAUGGUUCUGGAUAUGGCUCCAGAUAUUACGGCGGCUGGUGAUCUCUAGUCACAGGCUCAUUAUGACCUGAAUUAUUUCAUAGAAUUGUUAUCCUCUAAGUUUUUUAAUUCAUAAUAAAUAUCUAUUUAAAUGAAA
Long non-coding RNA from Leptidea sinapis, 550 nucleotides. RefSeq lists it as uncharacterized. The record is from RefSeq and is a predicted model, not a curated record. Lineage: Eukaryota; Metazoa; Arthropoda; Insecta; Lepidoptera; Pieridae. The transcript is spliced from 2 exons.